RNAcentral lists this long non-coding RNA (1141 nucleotides) under Callithrix jacchus (white-tufted-ear marmoset). Its description in RNAcentral is "lncRNA (ENSCJAG00000084242.1)". The record is from RNAcentral. Lineage: Eukaryota; Metazoa; Chordata; Mammalia; Primates; Cebidae.
CUGAAGUUUUCUUUUCUUGCUGAGUCUCUGCCAGGUUUUGGUAUCAGGAUGAUGUUGGUCUCAUAAAAUGAUUUGGGAACGAAUCCCAAUUCCCUCUGGAUUGCUUGGAAUAGUUUCAUAUGAAAUGUUACCAGCUCCUCUUUGUAUGUCUGGUAGAAUUCGGUUGUGAAUCCGUCUGGACUUGGGAUUUUUUUGGUGGUAGGCUCUUCAUUGCUGCCUCAACUUCAUACCUUGUUAUUGGUCUAUUCAGGAUUUCGACUUCUUCCUGGUUUAGGCUUGGGAGGAUGCAAGUGUCCAGGAAUUUAGCCAUUUCUUCUAGGUUUACUAGUUUACACGCAUAGAGAUGUUUGUAAUAAUCUCUGAUGAUCGUUUGUAUUUCUGUGGAAUCUGUGGUGAUAUCUCCUUUAUUGUUUUUUAUUGCAUCUAUUUGAUUAUUCUCCCUUUUCUUUUUUAUUAAUCUGGCUAUUGGUCUGUCUAUUUUGUUGAUCUUCUUGAUUUAUUGAAGGGUUUUUUGUGUCUCUAUCUCCUUCAGUUCUGCUCUGAUCUUAGUUAUUUCUUGUCUUCUGCUAGGUUUUGAGUUUUUGAGAGUCUGGCGAAUGUGUGCAGCAUGGCACAGUGUGGCAGGGCCCCUGGCUGCAGCCUGCGCUGCAGCUCCUCCAUCACCUUGCUGAUGAACUGCCUUCCCACGGCCACCAGGAGGCCACUUGCUGCCUGCUGCCAGGCCCCGACCAGGUCCUUCAUCUUGGUCAUCUCACUGGAGGCCAGGAGGAUGAUGGUGCUGGCUGUGUCCUUGACCAGCUCACUGGCACAACUGCUCAGGACCUUCUCUGUAGCCCUCAGGACUGCCUCUCGGUAUGGGUGCACCAGCUUGUCAGGCUGCCGCAGGUACUCCUCACAGGCACAGAGCAUCUCCACUGGCUGCAAUUCCCCAAGGGAACACAGGGCACUGCAGACAUGCUCCUGCACCAGGGGGUUCUUAUUGGUGAUGGCGUCCAGCAGAGUGGAGGACUCAGUCAUUUCUUCUUCAUGUAGGACUCAGUCAUUUCUGUGGCUUCAGCUUCCUUCACCCAGUGUGAACAUGGACAACUUAUUUUCCAAUAUGAGGAGCCACAGCCCUAUGCACCAUGGGAGGACACAGUAA